UACGUAGGGAGCAAGCGUUGUCCGGAAUCAUUGGGCGUAAAGCGCGCGUAGGUGGCCUCAUAAGUCCGCUGUGAAAGUCAAAGGCUCAACCUUCGAAAGCCGGUGGAUACUGUGAGGCUAGAGUACGGAAGAGGCGAGUGGAAUUCCUGGUGUAGCGGUGGAAUGCGCAGAUAUCAGGAGGAACACCAAUAGCGAAGGCAGCUCGCUGGGACGUUACUGACACUGAGGCGCGAAAGCGUGGGGAGCGAACAGG
This 253-nucleotide ribosomal RNA is filed under the name uncultured bacterium. RNAcentral describes it as "partial 16S ribosomal RNA". It matches the Rfam family "Bacterial small subunit ribosomal RNA", at positions 524 to 776 of the family's 1533-position model. The record is from RNAcentral.